RNAcentral lists this ribosomal RNA (465 nucleotides) under uncultured bacterium. RNAcentral describes it as "partial 16S ribosomal RNA". It matches the Rfam family "Bacterial small subunit ribosomal RNA", at positions 28 to 507 of the family's 1533-position model. The record is from RNAcentral.
GACGAACGCUGGCGGCGUGCUUAACACAUGCAAGUCGAACGGAAAGGCCCCUUUGGGGGUACUCGAGUGGCGAACGGGUGAGUAACACGUGAGUAACCUGCCCUUGACUUCGGGAUAACUUCAGGAAACUGGGGCUAAUACCGGAUAGGAAUCCUUGCUGCAUGGUGGGGGUUGGAAAGCUUCGGCGGUUUUGGAUGGACUCGCGGCUUAUCAGCUUGUUGGUGUGGUAGUGGCUUACCAAGGCUUUGACGGGUAGCCGGCCUGAGAGGGCGACCGGCCACAUUGGGACUGAGAUACGGCCCAGACUCCUACGGGAGGCAGCAGUGGGGAAUAUUGCACAAUGGGCGGAAGCCUGAUGCAGCAACGCCGCGUGCGGGAUGACGGCCUUCGGGUUGUAAACCGCUUUCAGCAGGGGCGAAGCUUGUGGUGACGGUACCUGCAGAAGAAGCACCGGCUAACUACGUG